Molecule: ribosomal RNA, 1336 nt
Filed under: metagenome
Description: bacterial SSU rRNA
Rfam family: Bacterial small subunit ribosomal RNA
Source: RNAcentral
GUUCACAUAGUGGCGAGCGGGUGCGUAAAACGUGGGAAUCUGCCAAACAGUUGAUAAAAAUCCUCAAUAAACAUGAAAGCUAGAAAGCGCUGUUUGAUGAGCCCGCGAAGUAUUAGGUUGUUGGUGGGGUAAAGGCCUACCAAGCCGAUGAUGCUUAGCUGGUCUUCUCGGAUGAUCGGCCACACUGGGACUGAGACACGGCCCAGACUCCCACGGGAGGCAGCAGUGGGGAAUUUUGGGCAAUGGGCGAGAGCCUGACCCAGCAAUAUCGCGUGAGCGAGGAAGGGCAGUUUAGCUCGUAAAGCUCUGUCAUUGAGUAUGAGAUAAUGACAUGACUCAAAGAGGAAGCCCCGGCUAACUUACGUGCCAGCCGCAGCGGUAAAACGUGGGGGGCAAGUGUUAUUCGGAAUGACUAGGCGUAAAGGGCAUGUAGGCGGUUAAUCGGGUGCGUUAGUGAAAGCCAUCAGCUCAACUGGUGAAAAACUUUCAACACCAAUUAACUUGAGUAAGAUAGAGGUCAGUGGAAUUUCGUGUGUAGAGAUAAAAUUCACAGAUAUACGAAGGAACGCCAAAAGCGAAGGCAACUUUCUGGGUCUUUACUGACGCUGAGGUGCGAAAGCAUGGGGAGCAAACAGGAUUAGAUACCCUGGUAGUCCAUGCCGUAAACGAUGAGUGUUCGUUUUUGGUCUUAGCCCACAAGGCAGAUCAGAAACCCAGCUAACGCGUUAAACACUCCGCCUGGGGAGUACGGUCGCAAGACUGAAACUCAAAGGAAUAGACGGGGACCCACACAAGCGGUGGAGCAUGUGGUUUAAUUCGAUACUACGCGCAAAACCUUACCAGCCCUUGACAUAUGAGUUAUGUGUUUAUCUAUAAUUGGAUAACACGAAAAACUUAUACAGGUGCUGCAUGGCUGUCGUCAGCUCGUGCCGUGAGGCGUCGGGUUAAGUCCUAUAACGAGCGCAACCCUUAUUUUGUGUUGCUAAAUACCGCAUCGCGGGAUUGCACUCACACAAAACUGCCCGUGAUAUACGGGAGGAAGGUGAGGAUGACGUCAAGUCCGCAUGGCCCUUAUGGGCUGGGCUACACACGUGCUACAAUGGCAAUUACAAUAGGAAGCAAGGCUGUAAAGCGGAGCGAAUCCCGAAAGAUUGUCUAAGUUCGGAUUGUUCUCUGCAACUCGAGAACAUGAAGUUGGAAUCGCUAGUAAUCGCGGAUCAGCAUGCCGCGGUGAAUUUGUACCCGGGUCUUGUGCUCACCGCCCGUCACACCCUGGAAGUGAGUUCCACUGGAAGACGGCGACCCCCGUUUAGCAUAGGCCGACGAGGUCUGGAAG